This 450-nucleotide ribosomal RNA is filed under the name uncultured bacterium. RNAcentral describes it as "partial 16S ribosomal RNA". It matches the Rfam family "Bacterial small subunit ribosomal RNA", at positions 354 to 796 of the family's 1533-position model. The record is from RNAcentral.
GUGGGGAAUAUUCCGCAAUGGACGAAAGUCUGACGGAGCAACGCCGCGUGAGUGAUGAAGGUUUUCGGACUGUAAAGCUCUGUUGUUUAGGACGAAAGUGCCUGUUGCAAAUAGUUACAGGUAUUGACGGUACUGAACGAGGAAGCCACGGCUAACUACGUGCCAGCAGCCGCGGUAAUACGUAGGUGGCAAGCGUUGUCCGGAAUUAUUGGGCGUAAAGAGCAUGUAGGCGGGAAUCUAAGUCUGUUGUGAAAAUGCGGGGCUCAACCCCGUAUUGCGAUGGAAACUGGGUUUCUUGAGUGCAGGAGAGGAAAGGGGAAUUCCCAGUGUAGCGGUGAAAUGCGUAGAUAUGGGGAGGAACACCAGUGGCGAAGGCGGCUUUCUGGACGGUGUCUGACACUGAGGCGCGAAAGCCAGGGGAGCGAACGGGAUUAGAAACCCAAGUAGUCC